AGCGUAGACGGUGUGGCAAGUCUGAUGUGAAAGGCAUGGGCUCAACCUGUGGACUGCAUUGGAAACUGUCAUACUUGAGUGCCGGAGGGGUAAGCGGAAUUCCUGGUGUAGCGGUGAAAUGCGUAGAGAUCAGGAGGAACAUCAGUGGCGAAGGCGGCUUACUGGACUGAUACUGACACUGAGGUGCGAAAGCGUGGGGAGCAAACA
Molecule: ribosomal RNA, 207 nt
Filed under: uncultured bacterium
Lineage: Bacteria
Description: partial 16S ribosomal RNA
Rfam family: Bacterial small subunit ribosomal RNA
Source: RNAcentral